This 373-nucleotide unclassified non-coding RNA is filed under the name uncultured Hymenobacteraceae bacterium. RNAcentral describes it as "contains 16S-23S intergenic spacer region". Lineage: Bacteria; Pseudomonadati; Bacteroidota; Cytophagia; Cytophagales; Hymenobacteraceae. The record is from RNAcentral.
UCACUGCUUGCGCAGGCAGUCUGUCUAGAGUCCCCGGCAUUAUCCGCUGGCAACUAAACAUAGGGGUUGCGCUCGUUGCGGGACUUAACCCAACACCUCACGGCACGAGCUGACGACGGCCAUGCAGCACCUUGCUUUGUGUCCCGAAGGAAAAGUCCAUCUCUGGACCGGUCACGCGCAUUCUAGCCUAGGUAAGGUUCCUCGCGUAUCAUCGAAUUAAACCACAUGCUCCACCACUUGUGCGGGCCCCCGUCAAUUCCUUUGAGUUUCACCGUUGCCGGCGUACUCCCCAGGUGGGAUACUUAUCGCUUUCGCUAAGCCACUGAUAAUCUUUAACCAGCAGCGAGUAUCCAUCGUUUACGGCGUGGACUAC